UUUCAUAUCUGAACUUUAAUAAGUGGAUUGCAUUAUUUCUUUUUCUAGAAACAGUAACUCAAGAACACAUGGAUCCUGGGAACUGAAGAGGGCAUCAGCUUAAAAUUUCUGUCAAGAGUUUGCAGCAUUCCAGCUACUUUCCAUCAUCAGCACCCAGGUGGAUGAAGUUUUCUAUCAUUACCUCCCCCUUUAUGGUCUCCUUAUUUAAAAGUUAUAAUCCUUAGGGUGCACCCUUAAACUUCAAC
This is a long non-coding RNA of Dipodomys spectabilis (banner-tailed kangaroo rat), 245 nucleotides long. RefSeq lists it as uncharacterized. The transcript has 3 exons. Lineage: Eukaryota; Metazoa; Chordata; Mammalia; Rodentia; Heteromyidae. The record is from RefSeq and is a predicted model, not a curated record.